This 253-nucleotide ribosomal RNA is filed under the name uncultured bacterium. RNAcentral's name for it is "partial 16S ribosomal RNA". It matches the Rfam family "Bacterial small subunit ribosomal RNA", at positions 524 to 776 of the family's 1533-position model. The record is from RNAcentral.
GACAGAGGGUGCAAACGUUGUUCGGAAUUACUGGGCGUAAAGCGCGUGUAGGCGGCCAUCUAAGUCGGGCGUGAAAUCCCACGGCUCAACCGUGGAAGUGCACUCGAAACUGGAUGGCUAGAGUCCUGGAGAGGAAGGUGGAAUGCUUGGUGUAGAGGUGAAAUUCGUAGAUAUCAAGCGGAACACCGGUGGCGAAGGCGGCCUUCUGGACAGUGACUGACGCUGAGACGCGAAGGCGUGGGGAGCAAACAGG